GAUGAACGCUGGCGGCGUGCCUAAUACAUGCAAGUCGAGCGAACAGACGAGGAGCUAGCUCCUCUGACGUUAGCGGCGGACGGGUGAGUAACACGUGGAUAACCUACCUAUAAGACUGGGAUAACUUCGGGAAACCGGAGCUAAUACCGGAUAAUAUAUUGAACCGCAUGGUUCAAUAGUGAAAGACGGUUUUGCUGUCACUUAUAGAUGGAUCCGCGCCGCAUUAGCUAGUUGGUAAGGUAACGGCUUACCAAGGCAACGAUGCGUAGCCGACCUGAGAGGGUGAUCGGCCACACUGGAACUGAGACACGGUCCAGACUCCUACGGGAGGCAGCAGUAGGGAAUCUUCCGCAAUGGGCGAAAGCUUGACGGAGCAACGCCGCGUGAGUGAUGAAGGUCUUCGGAUCGUAAAACUCUGUUAUUAGGGAAGAACAAAUGUGUAAGUAACUAUGCACGUCUUGACGGUACCUAAUCAGAAAGCCACGGCUAACUACGU
RNAcentral lists this ribosomal RNA (496 nucleotides) under uncultured bacterium. RNAcentral's name for it is "partial 16S ribosomal RNA". It matches the Rfam family "Bacterial small subunit ribosomal RNA", at positions 28 to 506 of the family's 1533-position model. The record is from RNAcentral.